This 66-nucleotide non-coding RNA is filed under the name Haloterrigena gelatinilytica. Lineage: Archaea; Methanobacteriati; Methanobacteriota; Halobacteria; Halobacteriales; Natrialbaceae. The record is from RNAcentral.
AGCCGAAACGCCCCUUCUCGGGCGUCGUCACGAGUGGAACUCGUGGCCUGACGAUGGCAACCGACC